This 509-nucleotide ribosomal RNA is filed under the name uncultured bacterium. Its description in RNAcentral is "bacterial SSU rRNA". It matches the Rfam family "Bacterial small subunit ribosomal RNA", at positions 21 to 518 of the family's 1533-position model. The record is from RNAcentral.
GGUUCAGGAUGAACGCUAGCUACAGGCUUAACACAUGCAAGUCGAGGGCAGCGGGAAGAAGCUGCUUCGUUCGCCGGCGACCGGCGCACGGGUGAGUAACGCGUAUCCAACCUGGCCCUUAGUAGGGGAUAGCCCGGCGAAAGUCGGAUUAAUACCCUAUGUUCUUCGUAGAAGACAUCUGAAAUGAAGCAAAGAUUUAGUCGCUAAGGGAUGGGGAUGCGUCUGAUUAGGUAGUCGGCGGGGUAACGGCCCACCGAGCCAUCGAUCAGUAGGGGUUCUGGGAGGAAGGUCCCCCACAUUGGUACUGAGACACGGACCAAACUCCUACGGGAGGCAGCAGUGAGGAAUAUUGGUCAAUGGGCGCGAGCCUGAACCAGACCCAAGUAGCGUGAGGGAAGACUGCCCUAUGGGUUGUAAACCUCGUUUUGCCGGGGAAUAAAGUGACGUACGUGUACGUUUUUGUAUGUACCCGGAGAAUAAGGACCGGCUAAUUCCGUGCCAGCAGCGGC